CCUUGACCCUUCAUUUGGCGGUUGACGAGAUGAGGUGCUGCUCAAUUGCACACUCGAGGUCGACGGGUUGGAACAACAGGAGACAACCGGUGAAACUCAUGCUACAGUCCCGACAUUCCUGCGCUGGGGUCGCUUUUUUGCUGCAGUUCUCUUCCAUCUGUCUAUUAAAUGGAGUCCCUCGAGUGAAACUGCCGGGUUCUAGGGCGUCUGGCUCUAUCACCGAGCUUCUGGCGUCUCCGACCGAAAACGUAACAGGGAGAAAGACGAAAACAGGUCCAGUGAAGACUUGAGGCGAACCCAAGAUGCUUCCAAAGUCUCUUCGUUGCUCCACACAUAUCCUGCCUAGGCUGACAGCUGUACUAGCUCAAACCCGUGAGGGGCGGGCAAGAAACAUACUGGCGUGGCAUCCUAUGUCCGAAAACUGCCACGCCCUUUCGACCUAUCCAAAUGGCACUUGCUUUCAGUUGGUACUUUUCCUCCGUUCGACUGCCAAUAUGGCAGCAGAUAAGGCUAGCCGCCGUGCGUUUCGCCCCCGUCUCUGUUUUCGUAGGGGAAUCUGUCCCUACAGGUUUUGUUCUACACAGGUUCCGUGUUCCUGGGCGACUCGUAGCACACCAUCGACGACUGGGAACUGCACUAUCUCAACAUCAAACACGUUUUUAUUUCGGUGGGGAAACCCGCUUUUGUUCCGAUUCUUUGGCAUUUCUUAGAAUUUGCGCUGCACCUCAACACAGACGUUCGCCUUCGCCCGAGUCCACAGCCUUCAGGUUCGAAGGCGGUAUUUAGACAAUGCAGUAAGCACCCUCUCAGCGUUGCCUCAGAGCAUCAGGCCAUUAUUUCUCGAUACGUUUUCUACAAGGGAAUGGUGGUGCACGGGUUACCACCGUGGAAACGGCAUUUUUCCAGCCUCGUGCAGUUGAAGGUGGUGUUUUUACCAUGCCUCAGAGCAUCAGGCCAUUAUUUCUCGAUACGUUUUCUACAAGGGAAUGGUGGUGCACGGGUUACCACCGUGGAAACGGCAUUUUCCCAGCCUCGUGCAGUUGAAGGUGGUGUAUUUACCAUAGCGGGUACGAACCUUCCACAAAAGGAGCUGCUACUGAAAAAACGGAAGGUUCGACGCUAAAUACCACUACCUUUCUUCAUACAGAGUUUGAGAAGGUGAGGAAACUGGCAACUCAACCGAGUCACUCUCUCUAACCG
Molecule: long non-coding RNA, 1200 nt
Filed under: Toxoplasma gondii VEG
Lineage: Eukaryota; Apicomplexa; Conoidasida; Eucoccidiorida; Sarcocystidae
Source: RNAcentral